RNAcentral lists this ribosomal RNA (414 nucleotides) under Leucothoe obuchii. Its description in RNAcentral is "bacterial SSU rRNA". It matches the Rfam family "Eukaryotic small subunit ribosomal RNA", at positions 1442 to 1787 of the family's 1831-position model. The record is from RNAcentral. Lineage: Eukaryota; Metazoa; Arthropoda; Malacostraca; Amphipoda; Leucothoidae.
AGAGAGAGCAAUAACAGGUCUGUGAUGCCCUUAGAUGCCCUGGGCCGCACGCGAGCUACAAUGCCGGGUACAGCGGGUUUAACUUCCUUCGCCGAAAGGUGCGGGUAACCCUCUGAAAUCCCUUCCGACGACGCGCUUGCGUACGGGUCUCCCUAGCGCUUGCGUGUCUCUCGGCUCGAUUGGGCCUGGGGCUUGCAAUUAUUUCCCACAAACGAGGAAUGCCUUGUAUUGGCUAGUCACGGAACUUGCAGCGACUCAGUCCCUGCCCUUUGUACACACCGCCCGUCGCUACUACCGAUUGAGUGUACCAGUGAGAUUCUUGGACUGGCGAACCGUCUCUCGUCUCGAGUAAUCGAAACGCCGACGGCGAACGACGGAAAGAGACCCGAACUGGUGCACUUAGAGGAAGUAAAA